GGCAGCUGCCCUUCGGGGUGAUGGCGAGCGGCGGACGGCUGAUUAACGCGUAGGAAUCUACCCCAAAGUGAGGAAUAACCUCGAGAAAUCGAGGCUAAUGCCGCAUAUGGUCUUCGGAUUAAAGGAUUUAUCCGCUUUGGGAAGAGCCUGCGUAAGAUUAGCUAGUUGGUGAGGUAAUGGCUCACCAAGGCUUCGAUCUUUAGCUGGUCUGAGAGGAUGACCAGCCAGACUGGAACUGAGACACGGUCCAGACUCCUACGGGAGGCAGCAGUAAGGAAUCUUCCACAAUGGGCGAAAGCCUGAUGGAGCAACGCCGCGUGCAGGAUGAAGGCCCUCGGGUCGUAAACUGCUUUUAUAAGUGAGGAAUAUGACGGUAACUUAUGAAUAAGGAUCGGCUAACUCCGUGCCAGCAGCCGCGGUCAUACGGAGGAUCCAAGCGUUAUUCGGAGUGACUGGGCGUAAAGAGUUGCGUAGGGGGUUUGUUAAGCGAAUAGUGAAAUCUUGUGGCUCAACCAUAAGGCUAUUAUUCGAACUGGCAGACUUGAGAAUAUG
This 552-nucleotide ribosomal RNA is filed under the name uncultured bacterium. Its description in RNAcentral is "bacterial SSU rRNA". It matches the Rfam family "Bacterial small subunit ribosomal RNA", at positions 68 to 652 of the family's 1533-position model. The record is from RNAcentral.